This 536-nucleotide ribosomal RNA is filed under the name uncultured eukaryote. Its description in RNAcentral is "SSU rRNA". It matches the Rfam family "Eukaryotic small subunit ribosomal RNA", at positions 457 to 992 of the family's 1831-position model. The record is from RNAcentral.
CAGGGAGGUAGUGACGAUAAAUAACAAUGCGGGGCUUUACAGUCCAGCAAUUGGAAUGAGAACAAUUUAAAUCCCUUAACGAGGAUCAAUUGGAGGGCAAGUCUGGUGCCAGCAGCCGCGGUAAUUCCAGCUCCAAUAGCGUAUAUUAAAGUUGUUGCAGUUAAAAAGCUCGUAGUUGGAUUUCUGGUCGGAGCGAUCGGUCCGCCUCAUUCGGGGUGUGUACUUGUGUCGUCUCCAGCCAUCCUUGAGGAGAACUGUCCUGGCAUUGAGUUGUUGGGGCAGGGAACCUCAUCUUUUACUGUGAAAAAAUUAGAGUGUUUAAAGCAGGCUUACGCCGUUGAAUACAUUAGCAUGGAAUAAUAAGAUAGGACUUUGGCGGUCUAUUUUGUUGGUUUGCACGCCGAGGUAAUGAUUAAUAGGGAUAGUUGGGGGUAUUCGUAUUUAAUUGUCAGAGGUGAAAUUCUUGGAUUUCUGAAAGCGAACUACUGCGAAAGCAUUUACCAAGGAUAGUUUUCAUUAAUCAAGAACGAAAGUUA